GAAUAUUGGACAAUGGGGGCAACCCUGAUCCAGCCAUGCCGCGUGUGUGAAGAAGGCCUUUUGGUUGUAAAGCACUUUAAGCAGUGAAGAAGACUCCAUGGUUAAUACCCAUGGACGAUGACAUUUGCUCCAGCAUACGCACCGGCUAACUCUGUCCCCGCAGCCGCUGUAAUACAGAGGGUGCAAGCGUUAAUCGGAAUUACUGGGCGUAAAGCGAGCGUAGGAGGCUUGAUAAGUCAGAUGUGAAAUCCCCGGGCGUAACCUGGGAACUGCAGCUGAUACUGUUAGGCUAGAAUAGGUGAGAGGAAGGUAGAAUUACAGGUGUAGCGGUGAAAUGCGUAGAGAUCUGGAGGAAUACCGAUGGCGAAGGCAGCCUUCUGGCAUCAUAUUGACACUGAGGUUCGAAAGCGUGGGUAGCAAACAGG
Molecule: ribosomal RNA, 425 nt
Filed under: uncultured bacterium
Lineage: Bacteria
Description: partial 16S ribosomal RNA
Rfam family: Bacterial small subunit ribosomal RNA
Source: RNAcentral